GCCUGGUGUGCAAAGGGCCUGCCUACCCUGAGCGGAAGCAGACACCAGAAGACUUCAAUAUGCAGGGUUGCUCCAGGAUAGCCAACUCCUAGUGUGACUCUUGCCAUUACUUGCACUUCCUGGCACAGUUUCAGAAAGAGAAAAGGGGUCCGUGUAGGAAAUUGUAUCAGAGAGAAAGGAUCAGACAGACUCUUGGUCCUGAAGGGCAGAAGAUGUAUUUCCUUG
RNAcentral lists this long non-coding RNA (225 nucleotides) under Mus spicilegus (steppe mouse). RNAcentral's name for it is "lncRNA (ENSMSIG00000011365.1)". The record is from RNAcentral. Lineage: Eukaryota; Metazoa; Chordata; Mammalia; Rodentia; Muridae.